This 119-nucleotide ribosomal RNA is filed under the name Pteropus alecto (black flying fox). The record is from RNAcentral. Lineage: Eukaryota; Metazoa; Chordata; Mammalia; Chiroptera; Pteropodidae.
GUCCACGGCCAUGUCACUCUGAACGUGCCCAAUCCCGUCUGAUCUUGGAAGCCAAGCAGGGUCGGGUCUACUUAGUACUUGGAUGGGAGAUCACCUAGGAAGACCAGGUGCUGUAGGCA